RNAcentral lists this unclassified non-coding RNA (334 nucleotides) under soil metagenome. Its description in RNAcentral is "partial contains 5.8S ribosomal RNA, internal transcribed spacer 2, and large subunit ribosomal RNA". The stretch from base 1 to 120 matches the Rfam family "5.8S ribosomal RNA", at positions 35 to 154 of the family's 154-position model. The record is from RNAcentral.
GAUGAAGAACGUAGCGAAAUGCGAUAAGUAAUGUGAAUUGCAGAAUUCAGUGAAUCAUCGAAUCUUUGAACGCACAUUGCGCCCGCCAGUAUUCUGGCGGGCAUGCCUGUUCGAGCGUCAUUUCAACCAUCAAGCCCCCGGCUUGUGUUGGGGACCUGCGGCUGCCGCAGGCCCUGAAAACCAGUGGCGGGCUCGCUAGUCACUCCGAGCGUAGUAAUACAUCUCGCUCAGGGCGUGCUGCGGGUUCCGGCCGUUAAAAAGCCUUAUUUACCCAAGGUUGACCUCGGAUCAUGUAGGAAGACCCGCUGAACUUAAGCAUAUCAAAAGCGGAGGA